This 150-nucleotide ribosomal RNA is filed under the name Stictis confusa. RNAcentral describes it as "5.8S ribosomal RNA". It matches the Rfam family "5.8S ribosomal RNA". Rfam says of the family: 5.8S ribosomal RNA (5.8S rRNA) is a component of the large subunit of the eukaryotic ribosome. It is transcribed by RNA polymerase I as part of the 45S precursor that also contains 18S and 28S rRNA. Functionally, it is thought that 5.8S rRNA may be involved in ribosome translocation. Lineage: Eukaryota; Fungi; Ascomycota; Lecanoromycetes; Ostropales; Stictidaceae. The record is from RNAcentral.
AACUUUCAACAACGGAUCUCUUGGUUCUGGCAUCGAUGAAGAACGCAGCGAAAUGCGAUAAGUAAUGUGAAUUGCAGAAUUCAGUGAAUCAUCGAAUCUUUGAACGCACAUUGCGCCCCUUGGUAUUCCGGGGGGCAUGCCUGUUCGAGC